UACGUAGGGUGCAAGCGUUGUCCGGAAUUAUUGGGCGUAAAGAGCUCGUAGGCGGUCAGUCGCGUCUGCUGUGAAAACUCGGGGCUUAACUCCGGGCCUGCAGUGGGUACGGGCAGACUAGAGUUCGGUAGGGGAGACUGGAAUUCCCGGUGUAGAGGUGAAAUUCGUAGAUAUCGGGAGGAACACCGGUGGCGAAGGCGGCGACCUGGGUCGACACUGACGCUGAGGCGCGAAAGCGUGGGGAGCAAACAGG
This 253-nucleotide ribosomal RNA is filed under the name uncultured bacterium. Its description in RNAcentral is "partial 16S ribosomal RNA". It matches the Rfam family "Bacterial small subunit ribosomal RNA", at positions 524 to 776 of the family's 1533-position model. The record is from RNAcentral.